RNAcentral lists this RNase P RNA (378 nucleotides) under Crocinitomicaceae bacterium. RNAcentral's name for it is "RNase P RNA component class A". It matches the Rfam family "Bacterial RNase P class A". From Rfam's summary of the family: Ribonuclease P (RNase P) is a ubiquitous endoribonuclease, found in archaea, bacteria and eukarya as well as chloroplasts and mitochondria. Its best characterised activity is the generation of mature 5'-ends of tRNAs by cleaving the 5'-leader elements of precursor-tRNAs. The record is from RNAcentral. Lineage: Bacteria; Pseudomonadati; Bacteroidota; Flavobacteriia; Flavobacteriales; Crocinitomicaceae.
AAGGCAGUCUGAUCUAUCGACUCACGCAAGUGAGUAGGAAAGUCCGGGCAACACAGGGCGUCGCACUUCCUAACUGGAAGGGAUUUUGGGCAACCAAAGUUACAGAAAGUGUCACAGAAACUAAACCGCCUCUUCGGGGGUAAGGGUGAAAAAGUGGGGUAAGAGCCCACUCGUUUUGAUGUGAAUCAAAAUUGGGAUAAACCUUGCGAGUUGAAAGACCAAAUAAACCUGGAUCAAAGGGCGGCUCGCCCAAUUAUCUUCGGAUAAGCCAGAAGGGUAGGUCGAUUGAGGUAUACUGCGAAGUAUAUCCUAGAUAAAUGAUAGAUACCACGGCAAAAACUGUGGGCACAGAACCCGGCUUAUAGGGCUGCCUUUUUU